Molecule: long non-coding RNA, 517 nt
Organism: Molossus molossus (Pallas's mastiff bat)
Lineage: Eukaryota; Metazoa; Chordata; Mammalia; Chiroptera; Molossidae
Exons: 3
Source: RefSeq, a predicted model, not a curated record
GCAGAAGUCGAACAAGAUACCAGACUAGUCCUACUGCAAAGUGGACAAUGGGCCAGAUAAAGCACAUCAGCAGGAACUGCUGGAAGCUAAAAGUAGGGCAUAUAACUGACACCCCAACCCUGAUUUGCCUGCACCCAAGCAUAUACAAUAAAGCCAUAUUGCUCUACAUUGGCCUUGCUUGUGGAUGUAAUCUCCUGCUAGCUCAGACCUUUUAUUUGGUGCCAAAAUCCGGGAGGUCUGGGAGGAUCCCACAUGGAGGCAACCGCAGGUCCCUGGAACCUUCCAGACCUCCUGUCGGACCGGGAUUGAUCACAUCUUCAGCCGGAUACUGGACCUCCAACCUUUCCUGCUGAUCCAGCAUCAACACCGGACACUAAUUCACUGGCUGCAGGCAAUCCAGGCCUUGAUCUGAUUGGCCUGGAGCCUGAAGAUGGAAGGUGCCCAGGAAAGGAUGCCCCAACCUUCAUCUCAAACUCCGAACCUCAGGCAAUGGAUAACCCAGCAGAUGCUGGACAAG